UGGGGAAUAUUGGACAAUGGGCGAAAGCCUGAUCCAGCCAUGCCGCGUGUGUGAAGAAGGUCUUCGGAUUGUAAAGCACUUUAAGUUGGGAGGAAGGGUUGUAGAUUAAUACUCUGCAAUUUUGACGUUACCGACAGAAUAAGCACCGGCUAACUCUGUGCCAGCAGCCGCGGUAAUACAGAGGGUGCAAGCGUUAAUCGGAAUUACUGGGCGUAAAGCGCGCGUAGGUGGUUUGUUAAGUUGGAUGUGAAAUCCCCGGGCUCAACCUUGGAACUGCAUUCAAAACUGACUGACUAGAAUAUGUUAGAGGGUGGUGGAAUUUCCUGUGUAGCGGUGAAAUGCGUAGAUAUAGGAAGGAACACCAGUGGCGAAGGCGACCACCUGGACUAAUACUGACACUGAGGUGCGAAAGCGUGGGGAGCAAACAGG
RNAcentral lists this ribosomal RNA (429 nucleotides) under bacterium. RNAcentral's name for it is "partial 16S ribosomal RNA". It matches the Rfam family "Bacterial small subunit ribosomal RNA", at positions 355 to 776 of the family's 1533-position model. The record is from RNAcentral.